Molecule: ribosomal RNA, 298 nt
Filed under: Candidatus Corynebacterium intestinavium
Lineage: Bacteria; Bacillati; Actinomycetota; Actinomycetes; Mycobacteriales; Corynebacteriaceae
Description: partial 23S ribosomal RNA
Rfam family: Bacterial large subunit ribosomal RNA
Source: RNAcentral
AGAACGUCGUGAGACAGUUCGGUCUCUAUCCGCCGCGCGCGUUGAAACUUGAGAAAGGCUGACCCUAGUACGAGAGGACCGGGUUGGACAUACCUCUGGUGCGCCAGUUGUCACGCCCGUGGCAUGGCUGGUUGGCUACGUAUGGGAGGGAUAACCGCUGAAAGCAUCUAAGCGGGAAGCCUGUUUCGAGAUGAGGUUUCUUUUGAGGUUCCCUAGAGAUGAUGGGGUUGAUAGGCCAGAUCUGGAAGCACUGUGAGGUGUGGAGGUGACUGGUACUAAUUGGCCGAAGUGUAACAAA